AAAUUCCUGGGAUGUGCGACAAUCCUGAUAUUUUGAACCUACAGUAAUUGAAUCGGGAUGCUAAUAUUUAUAAGAAGAUGUCAAGCCGUCGUUUGCAGCGGAAGAUUGAAACUUAUGUGAGGCGACCCACCUAGCAUUGGCUAGGAGUCAAAAUUCAGGAAACGGCAUUUUGGGUUCUUA
RNAcentral lists this non-coding RNA (180 nucleotides) under Velocimicrobium porci. RNAcentral describes it as "6S RNA". It matches the Rfam family "6S / SsrS RNA". From Rfam's summary of the family: E. coli 6S RNA was the first non coding RNA to be sequenced, but its function was unknown until recently. It consists of 184 nucleotides that fold into an extended hairpin structure with a large single-stranded internal bulge. The 6S RNA specifically associates with RNA polymerase holoenzyme containing the sigma70 specificity factor. The record is from RNAcentral. Lineage: Bacteria; Bacillati; Bacillota; Clostridia; Lachnospirales; Lachnospiraceae.